This 458-nucleotide ribosomal RNA is filed under the name uncultured bacterium. RNAcentral describes it as "bacterial SSU rRNA". It matches the Rfam family "Bacterial small subunit ribosomal RNA", at positions 340 to 789 of the family's 1533-position model. The record is from RNAcentral.
UACGGGAGGCAGCAGUGGGGAAUAUUGCACAAUGGGCGAAAGCCUGAUGCAGCUAUGCCGCGUGUAUGAAGAAGGCCUUAGGGUUGUAAAGUACUUUCAUCGGGGAGGAAAAACAAAACUAAUAAUUUUAUUUCUUGACGUUACCCGAAAAAGAAGCACCGGCUAACUCCGUGCCAGCAGCCGCGGUAAUACGGAGGGUGCUAGCGUUAAUCAGAAUUACUGGGCGUAAAGAGCACGUAGGUGGUUUUUUAAGUCAGAUGUGAAAUCCCUGGGCUUAACCUAGGAACUGCAUUUUGAAACUGAAAUACUAGAGUAUCGUAGAGGGAGGUAGAAUUCUAGGUGUAGCGGUGAAAUGCGUAGAUAUCUGGAGGAAUACCUGUGGCGAAAGCGGCCUCCUAAACGAAUACUGACACUGAGGUGCGAAAGCGUGGGGAGCGAAACAGGGAUUAGAUACCCGU